RNAcentral lists this transfer RNA (74 nucleotides) under Clostridiales bacterium. RNAcentral's name for it is "tRNA-Gly". It matches the Rfam family "tRNA". Rfam says of the family: Transfer RNA (tRNA) molecules are approximately 80 nucleotides in length. Their secondary structure includes four short double-helical elements and three loops (D, anti-codon, and T loops). Lineage: Bacteria; Bacillati; Bacillota; Clostridia; Eubacteriales. The record is from RNAcentral.
GCGGGUGUAGCUCAGUGGUAGAGCCCUGCCCUUCCAAGGCAGUUGCGAGGGUUCGACUCCCUUCACCCGCUCCA